This 536-nucleotide long non-coding RNA is filed under the name Homo sapiens (human). Its description in RNAcentral is "non-protein coding lnc-ANXA2R-1:33". The record is from RNAcentral. Lineage: Eukaryota; Metazoa; Chordata; Mammalia; Primates; Hominidae.
CUUAAAUUGUGGUUCUCUGUCUCUAGCACCGUGAUCUUUGAAAUGCGUUAUUGAUUUUCUUCUUUCUUCUGGGAAAUGCAAUGCAGGUGAACUUGUAAGUGUUGAAUCCUCCCUCUCCUCACUGUUCAAUCAGACUGAGGCCUACUUCCUUUCUGAUAAGAAAUAUGGAACUGCCAUUGCUCAGUAGGAAAAUGUCCUUUCUACAAGCAUUCAUAUUUCAAUAAAAAUCUGCACUUUGUGAGUUGAGCCCCCUCAAAGAGACCUACAGACCCUGCCAUGAGCAUCUCCAUCCACACUCAUCAUUUCCCAUUUUCACCACUUCUGCUCCUGUGCAAACCAGUACUAUCCUUUUCUGGGGGAUCCUAGGCAGAAGCGAUGGCAGGACAAAGGCAGAGAAGGCACUGCCAGGUCCUGCAUGCCAGUAAAACUACUCAUGUCAGCUGUUCUGCAGGAUCCCAUGAGAAGCCUCUCACCCUCCACAAUCCCCUUAAAAACUGUAGCCCAGAACUCUCUGGAAUGAUGAAUUUGAAGGUUUG